RNAcentral lists this ribosomal RNA (644 nucleotides) under uncultured bacterium. RNAcentral's name for it is "bacterial SSU rRNA". It matches the Rfam family "Bacterial small subunit ribosomal RNA", at positions 78 to 718 of the family's 1533-position model. The record is from RNAcentral.
UGCUGCUUCGCUGACGAGUGGCGGACGGGUGAGUAGUGUCUGGGAAACUGCCUGAUGGAGGGGGAUAACUACUGGAAACGGUAGCUAAUACCGCAUAACGUCGCAAGACCAAAGAGGGGGACCUUCGGGCCUCUUGCCAUCAGAUGUGCCCAGAUGGGAUUAGCUUGUUGGUGGGGUAACGGCUCACCAAGGCGACGAUCCCUAGCUGGUCUGAGAGGAUGACCAGCCACACUGGAACUGAGACACGGUCCAGACUCCUACGGGAGGCAGCAGUGGGGAAUAUUGCACAAUGGGCGCAAGCCUGAUGCAGCCAUGCCGCGUGUAUGAAGAAGGCCUUCGGGUUGUAAAGUACUUUCAGCGGGGAGGAAGGUGUUGUGGUUAAUAACCGCAGCAAUUGACGUUACCCGCAGAAGAAGCACCGGCUAACUCCGUGCCAGCAGCCGCGGUAAUACGGAGGGUGCAAGCGUUAAUCGGAAUUACUGGGCGUAAAGCGCACGCAGGCGGUCUGUUAAGUCAGAUGUGAAAUCCCCGGGCUCAACCUGGGAACUGCAUCUGAUACUGGCAGGCUUGAGUCUCGUAGAGGGGGGUAGAAUUCCAGGUGUAGCGGUGAAAUGCGUAGAGAUCUGGAGGAAUACCGGUGGCGA